Molecule: ribosomal RNA, 245 nt
Filed under: uncultured bacterium
Lineage: Bacteria
Description: partial small subunit ribosomal RNA
Rfam family: Bacterial small subunit ribosomal RNA
Source: RNAcentral
AGAAUCAGCGCUGGCGGCGUGCCUAACACAUGCAAGUCGAACGAGAAAGUGGAGCAAUCCAUGAGUAAAGUGGCGACCGGGUGAGUAACACGUGACUAACCUACCUUCGAGUGGGGGAUAACCUACGGGAAACCGAGGCUAAUACCGCAUAACAUCGCAAGAUCAAAAGCAGCAAUGCGCUUGGAGAGGAGUUCGCGGCAGAUUAGCUAGUUGGCGGGUAAUGGCCCACAAGGCGAUGAUCUGUA